This 899-nucleotide ribosomal RNA is filed under the name Fusarium equiseti. RNAcentral's name for it is "LSU rRNA". It matches the Rfam family "Eukaryotic large subunit ribosomal RNA", at positions 36 to 965 of the family's 3401-position model. Lineage: Eukaryota; Fungi; Ascomycota; Sordariomycetes; Hypocreales; Nectriaceae. The record is from RNAcentral.
UAGCAUAUCAAUAAGCGGAGGAAAAGAAACCAACAGGGAUUGCCCUAGUAACGGCGAGUGAAGCGGCAACAGCUCAAAUUUGAAAUCUGGCUUUCGGGCCCGAGUUGUAAUUUGUAGAGGAUACUUUUGAUGCGGUGCCUUCCGAGUUCCCUGGAACGGGACGCCAUAGAGGGUGAGAGCCCCGUCUGGUUGGAUGCCAAAUCUCUGUAAAGUUCCUUCGACGAGUCGAGUAGUUUGGGAAUGCUGCUCUAAAUGGGAGGUAUAUGUCUUCUAAAGCUAAAUAUUGGCCAGAGACCGAUAGCGCACAAGUAGAGUGAUCGAAAGAUGAAAAGCACUUUGAAAAGAGAGUUAAAAAGUACGUGAAAUUGUUGAAAGGGAAGCGUUUAUGACCAGACUUGGACUUGGUUAAUCAUCUGGGGUUCUCCCCAGUGCACUUUUCCAGUUCAGGCCAGCAUCAGUUUUCGCCGGGGGAUAAAGGCAGCGGGAAUGUGGCUCUCUUCGGGGAGUGUUAUAGCCCGUUGUGUAAUACCCUGGUGGGGACUGAGGUUCGCGCUUCUGCAAGGAUGCUGGCGUAAUGGUCAUCAACGACCCGUCUUGAAACACGGACCAAGGAGUCGUCUUCGUAUGCGAGUGUUCGGGUGUCAAACCCCUACGCGUAAUGAAAGUGAACGCAGGUGAGAGCUUCGGCGCAUCAUCGACCGAUCCUGAUGUUCUCGGAUGGAUUUGAGUAAGAGCAUACGGGGCCGGACCCGAAAGAAGGUGAACUAUGCCUGUAUAGGGUGAAGCCAGAGGAAACUCUGGUGGAGGCUCGCAGCGGUUCUGACGUGCAAAUCGAUCGUCAAAUAUGGGCAUGGGGGCGAAAGACUAAUCGAACCUUCUAGUAGCUGGUUUCCGCCGAU